UCCACUAGGGCGCGCCCGACGCCUGCGCAUUGAGCUCAGGCGGGCACUCCCAGAAACACCCGCGGCGCGGCCUUUGGGCGAGCGGGUUCGAGCGGCGGAAUCCACGAACCGAGGGGAGGGUUAGUAGACUGGGCCUCCCAGCGUCCCGGCCGGCGAGCCGCAAGCUUCCUGGUGUUGGACUACAUUUCCCAGAGCCGCCGCGUCCCCAAUGCGGCUUCAUUUCCGUUUGUUCGUGCGAUUUGGGGGCCUCGCGUGGGGAGGGCAGCGUCUGGAGGAGCUUGGCCCGGCUCCCGUUGGGCGGGCGAACCCGAAAUCGGGGCUUGGACCCCAGGCGCCAGAUCCUGGAUCCUGAACUGCAGCUUCUGUCGAGAGCCCAGAAGAGGAAAAAAUGGCUGUUACACAUUCAAAACCAAAGUCCAAGCUCUGCCUUUUUCAGACUCUGUGCUUCUCUAAGAUAGGAAUCCAGAGGAGGAUUGAUCAUUUCUUGGAGCACUAAAAACCAUGGCUCAGAGAUCAGUGAUGUUCAGGGAUGUUGCCAUUGACUUCUCUCAGGAAGAGUGGGAAUGCCUGGACUCUGCUCAAAGGGAUUUGUAUAGAGAUGUGAUGUUGGAGAACUAUAGUAACUUGGUGUCACUAGUAGGUAAGGAAAUGUACCCCUAGUAUUUCAGGAUCUACCUUUGGAAUGGCUGCUUUCUUCGAUUGUUUUUAAGUAACUGAAUUGCCUCUUAUUAUUCUCAAAGGAAUGAGAAUAUUUGAAUUACUGGAAAUAGUAAUAUUUCAUAGGGCAUAUUUGCUUUCUCCAUUUUCCAGUGUAAUUAUCGCUCUUCUUUCUCUCUUAUUUGAUAAGCAAGGGGCUAGAUUUGAAUUCUGGGACACUUACAAUAUUGUCAGGAAAAACAGGCUAUGCAUUGUUAACAAUUUAGAUAUGCUAAAGGAGUUAAAAAUAUUUUGAAAAUUAGAUCCAGAAAUAUAUUGUUUUUCAGACAAUAGAAAAGCUUAUAUUAUUUACAUAGUAAUAGGGUAGAUUAGGUCAGGUAAACAAUCCAUUACAACAAAUACUUUCGCUCCUAUUUGUGUUUUGUAGUUGAAUAUUACAUUUUAAGAACUUUGUAUUGUUCUUUGAAUGAAUGUGCUAGAACCACCUUCUAUUGGAAAAUAGCUCAGGAAGAACAUGUGAUUGUCUAAGAAAGUUUGUUGGACUUUUCCUAUAACAAAAUAAGAGACAUCCUAUAUCAGUUAAAACUUUUAACAAGUGAUUUUCCAACCUAAAUGAUCACUUUAUUCUUUAGACUCUUGAAGUCCCUGUCUUUUACCCAUUCACUCCUCUUUUCUCUGAAGGCUUUAUGAAGUUACUGGUUGGUACACUGCCUUUGAGACCCAAGUCAUGUGGAAAAAAGACUUCUGACUUGAGAAGAAAAGCAAGGGCUUUUCAGCACAAUCUCUCUAAGGAAUCCCACCUAAUCCCUACUCUUCUCCCUUUUGGUCUCUUAUGAUAGUCCUUCCCACUCUCAAAGGAGGAGCUCUUCCUUUUCUCCAGUGGUAUGUAAACUUGGGAGUCAAUUCCUUUCUAGAUUUUUUUUUUUGUAUUUAGAUUUAUAUUGUCUCCCUUUAAAAUGUAUUCAUUCAUUCAAAAUAUAUUUAUUAAGAGCCUAUUCUUUACCAAGGACUAUAGUAGGUAUUGGAGAAAUGAUGAUCUAGAUAAAGUUUGUGUUCUGCUACAUUCUCUGGGAGAAAUAAAAAUAUAUGUGUUUGUGUGUAUAUAUUUACAUAUAUACAUUUAUUUAAUAAAUAUAAUAGUUUGCAGGCAACAAUAAGGAAUUUGAAAGUAAAGGAGAGUCGGCAAAUUAACUGGGGAGUAUGGAUGAGCUAUUUUAGAUAGGUAGAUUUUUAAAAAACAUCUCUAAGGAGGUAAUAUUUGAACAAAGACUUGACUGAAGUAAGGGCAGGAGUCAGGCCAGUCUGUGCAGGAACAGUAUUGCAGACAAAUGGAGUAGUAAAUGUAGAGAGUUUAGGGUGGGUGUUAACUUAGUAGGAGGAACAGAAAAGCAUAAUUAAAGAAGAGUGAAUGAUAGAGUAAUUAAGAAAUAAAUAUAAUUUGGCAACUCCAGAAAAGGAGUUCAAAUUUUAUGCUUUGAGGUGGUGCCCUCUGACUUCUGGUGAAAGAAAAUGCACAUCCUCUCUGAAGGAAAGUAAGAGGGUUUUAGAAUUCUCACAAAUUAAGAUCAACAAAAGAUGAGCUCACAAAGAUCAUCCAACCCACAAGGAAACAGGUCAUAGGUGAGUGAUAGAUAAUCUAAAGAAACAACAGAUUACAUGGCAAAUGAUUUCACAUAUUGGUAUUUUUAGAUAUAAAUACAAAAUGUUGGUGAAAUGUUUAAAGAAAUAAGCUAAAUCACAAAAAUAACAAGCAAUAAGAGAUUUUCAUAGAGGGUCAGAUUUGAAAGAGAACUAAGAACAUUUCUAAAGGUUCUGUUUAGAUCUUUUUAAAAAUAAUCAUCAAUAGAUUGAUGUUUGAAUGAAAAUUGUUUUCUUUAUAAAAAGACAUAAAGAAAAUAAAAGGCCUUGAAUUGGGUGAAUAUAUUUGUAAUUCAUAUUGACAACAAUGAAAUUAAUACCUAGAAUAUAAAAAGCUUUUAUAGAUUAAGGAAAAGGAAAUAUUUUGUUUUUAAAAAGUGGGUAAAAGACAUUCAUAGGCAGUUCAAGGAAAAGGAAAUAACAAAUUGAGGAGGUAAAAGACAUAUACUCUGAAAACUAUGAAACAUUGAUGAAAGAAAUUCAAGAUAAUACAGUUGGAAAGAUACACACUGCUCAUGGAUUGGAAGAAUUAGUAAUUGUUAAAAUGUCCAUACUACCCAAAGCAAACCACAGAUUCAGUGCAAUACCUAACAAGAUGCCAAUAGUAUUUUUCAUAAAACUAAAGCUAAAAUAAUUAAUCUACAACAAAGGAGGCAACAAUAGCCAGUUGGGGGAAAGAGAGUCUUUUGAAUAAAUGUUUUUCUUUGUUCUGGAAAAACUGGAGAGCUACAUGCAAAGGAAUGAAACUACACUACUUUCCUACACCAUACACAAAAAUAAACUCAAAAUGGGUUUAAAACCUAAAUUUGAGACCUGAAAUCAUUAAACUAAAAGAAUACAUAGGCACUAAUCUUUUAAUAAACUCUUAGGACUAUGAAAAUAAAAAGCUUUUGUACACCAAAGGAAACCCAUGAAUAAAAUGAAAAGACAACCUACUGAAUGGGAGAAGAUAUUUACAAAUGAUAUGUCUGAUAAGGGGUUAAUAUCACUAUUUUGUUUAAAAAAAAAGGGAAAGGAAAUACAAAUAGCCAACAGACAUGAAGUGCUAUUGACUGAAUAAAUAAAUAAAAUUUUACAAGGGAUUACUAUUUAGCAAUACAACAGCCAAAACGUGAAACGACUCAGAUGUCUAGCAGCUGAUGAAUGGAUGAAUAAAAUUUGUUAUAUCUUUUUUUUUUUUUUAAUUUUUUUUUUCAACGUUUAUUUAUUUUUGGGACAGAGAGAGACAGAGCAUGAACGGGGGAGGGGCAGAGAGAGAGGGAGACACAGAAUCGGAAACAGGCUCCAGGCUCUGAGCCAUCAG
Long non-coding RNA from Lynx canadensis (Canada lynx), 3598 nucleotides. NCBI's taxonomy places the organism in Eukaryota, Metazoa, Chordata, Mammalia, Carnivora, Felidae. The record is from Ensembl.